GAUGAACGCUGGCGGCGUGCUUAAUACAUGCAAGUCGAGCGGAAAGGUCUCUUCGGAGAUACUCGAGCGGCGGACGGGUGAGUAACGCGUAAGAAUGUACCCCAAAGUGAGGAAUAAGCACCAGAAAUGGUGUCUAAUGCCUCAUGUGCCCUUCGGAGUAACGCUUUAUGCGCUUUGGGAACAGCUUGCGUCUGAUCAGCUAGUUGGUAAGGUAACGGCUUACCAAGGCGACGAUCAGUAGCUGGGCUGAGAGGAUGACCAGCCACACUGGGACUGAGACACGGCCCAGACUCCUACGGGAGGCAGCAGUAGGGAAUUUUCCACAAUGGGCGAGAGCCUGAUGGAGCAACGCCGCGUGAUGGAUGAAGGCCUUCGGGUUGUAAACAUCUUUUGUCUGUGACGAAUAUGACGGUAGCAGACGAAUAAGGAUCGGCUAACUACGUGCCAGCCGCCGCCGUAA
This 460-nucleotide ribosomal RNA is filed under the name uncultured bacterium. RNAcentral's name for it is "partial 16S ribosomal RNA". It matches the Rfam family "Bacterial small subunit ribosomal RNA", at positions 28 to 523 of the family's 1533-position model. The record is from RNAcentral.